RNAcentral lists this ribosomal RNA (496 nucleotides) under Terribacillus sp. 7520-G. Its description in RNAcentral is "bacterial LSU rRNA". It matches the Rfam family "Bacterial large subunit ribosomal RNA", at positions 2424 to 2925 of the family's 2925-position model. The record is from RNAcentral. Lineage: Bacteria; Bacillati; Bacillota; Bacilli; Caryophanales; Bacillaceae.
CGGUGCCGUAUGGAAGGGCCGUCGCUCAACGGAUAAAAGCUACCCCGGGGAUAACAGGCUUAUCUCCCCCAAGAGUCCACAUCGACGGGGAGGUUUGGCACCUCGAUGUCGGCUCAUCGCAUCCUGGGGCUGUAGUCGGUCCCAAGGGUUGGGCUGUUCGCCCAUUAAAGCGGUACGCGAGCUGGGUUCAGAACGUCGUGAGACAGUUCGGUCCCUAUCUGUCGUGGGCGUAGGAAAUUUGAGAGGAGCUGUCCUUAGUACGAGAGGACCGGGAUGGACGUACCGCUGGUGCACCAGUUGUUCCGCCAGGAGCACGGCUGGGUAGCUACGUACGGAAGGGAUAAGCGCUGAAAGCAUCUAAGCGUGAAGCCCCCCUCAAGAUGAGAUUUCCCAAUUCGUAAGACCCCUUGAAGACGACGAGGUAGAUAGGUUGGAGGUGGAAGUGCAGCAAUGCAUGGAGCUGACCAAUACUAAUCGGUCGAGGGCUUAUCCUAAA